This 252-nucleotide ribosomal RNA is filed under the name uncultured bacterium. Its description in RNAcentral is "partial 16S ribosomal RNA". It matches the Rfam family "Bacterial small subunit ribosomal RNA", at positions 524 to 775 of the family's 1533-position model. The record is from RNAcentral.
UACAGAGGUGGCAAGCGUUGUUCGGAAUUACUGGGCGUAAAGGGCGCGUAGGCGGCCUUCUAAGUCAGACGUGAAAUCCCCCGGCUUAACCUGGGAACUGCGUCUGAUACUGGGAGGCUUGAGUAUGGGAGAGGGAUGUAGAAUUCCAGGUGUAGCGGUGAAAUGCGUAGAUAUCUGGAGGAAUACCGGUGGCGAAGGCGGCAUCCUGGACCAUAACUGACGCUGAGGCGCGAAAGCUAGGGGAGCAACGGG